Molecule: non-coding RNA, 4662 nt
Organism: Sus scrofa (pig)
Lineage: Eukaryota; Metazoa; Chordata; Mammalia; Artiodactyla; Suidae
Source: RefSeq, a predicted model, not a curated record
CCGCAAGGAGACAGGAGACAGGGCUCAAUUCUGUCUCCUAAUCCAGGCUUUGGGGUGAAACCUAAGGCUUUAGAGGAAUUUCAAACUUGGAAGUGAAACCCGUGGGUUAAAUCCAUUUCACCUGCUGCCACUAACCAGGGUGGUUUAAAAGACUUGUGUCUUACAAGGGUCUUAACACCAAGAUGCCGCCCCGAUGGUUUCCUAGGAACUUGAAAGCAGCUGAGUCGAGUCCAAGCUGAGCUGGUUCAGACCAGAUGGGACCUCCGACUCUGCAACUGGGCAUGCGCGGGCGUCCAGGCUCCUCCCCCCCACCCCGGGGGCUUAUAACGCUUGCGCGGGUCGGGCUUAUCGCGCCUUUUGCGCAUCAUGCUUGCAACUCUGAAUGCUGCCCAACCCUUGCUGGUGUCUGAGAGCUGAAGUUGCGGUCUGGUCUCGCUUCUCCUUUUCUGGCUGUUUUAUGGCUAAGUUCUGUCUUUGCUGCACGUCGGGGUGUCCCAGCAUUUGGGCUUGUUGCGCAUCAGCCCAGCGAACUUAGUCCGGGAGCUGGUGGGCCGAGUCUGCGAAUCCGUCCAGCUCCUGCAUCGGUGUGCAACGCAAUGUUGGCGAGAGUUGCUUCCACCUCACCGUCGCUGGAAGCUGCCUUGCAGAGCGGAUGCUGCGAGAGGAGCAAAGGAAAGUCUCCCCUGAAUUGGCCUCGAAGCGCAGGGAGACUAGAAAGUGGGAGAGACCGCAGUUAAAAAAGUGCCACAUGCAAGGAGACGCCCCGGGAGGAGACGUGCGGUGUCAGCACAUCCCGGUAGGGGUGCGGGGGUCUCCUUCAGCCACGCGUCGACCGAGUAACUGAGGUUCACGGUGGAUGGCACGUCCCGGAUGUGUGUGCUGAUAACUCUGGCAACCCUACAGAAGAGAGGCAUGUUGAAAAUACUUAGCAAACGGAGUUACAGCUGCGUGGACUGGUCCCGGGUCUCCCCUCAGAGGCAGAGGCUGUGUACUUUCUGGGAGUUCUUGGGACCGCAGCUCCAGUUGGGGCAGUGCCACAUCUCGAUAGGAGACCAGAACGAUUCAAUCACUUAUUCACAGUCUAGAUGUUUGUGGCGGGUAGACAAAAUAUUAAGAUGUUUGGCAGGAUCGCUCUGCUGCCCUUUGCAAGUCUGGCAUCUGACCUGCGUAGCUGUCCAGCUCGCCCCGGGCUGGGACCGUAUCUGUGGGGACCCCGUGCCCCCACUCCCCUCCUUUUCAAGUGGGCCUGGGACGUUGCUACCAGGAUUUUCAAGGAUUGAGCUGAAGUCUGGACGUGCUUUUGCAUUUUGUUCAUUUUUUGGCCCAAGGCUCCCGUGUAUGUACAGUUGUCUUACUGAAGUCUGCUGAUAAAGUUCAGACGCCUUAGUUUCUGUUACGGAGGAAACUCAGCAAGAAAAUCAGAUUUUUUUUUUUCUUCUCCCUCAGAGCACAAUGAACUGACAUAAAUCCUGUCCAUGUGAUACUGCUCCGACCCCCUCCCCCCACCAGGCCAGGGGGGAUGGGAACGGUGACGUCACCCAGCACAGGAAGCCCCUGGCAGGUUAGGGCUGUUUCUGGGCAAGGGCACUCAUUGAUCCAAUUAGUUAUUCAUUCAACCAACUCCCCACCCCACCCCCACACAGCCGUGGUCCUGACCUCUCUGGUUGGUCUGCCUGGAUCCUCUUCUUGGUGCUGUUGCGCCUUCGUUGUGUAGCCAUGGAACACUGCUUGGUUUUUUCUCUGCACUUGGAUUUCUUCUGUAAAACAGGAUUAAUAACAGGGUUGUUGGAAGGAUUAAAUGAGAAUUCAUGUAACCGCCGGAGAACAGUGCCUGACAUUUAGUAAGUACUUAAUAAAUGUUAGCUGUUACAGUGGAUGCGUAGCCGUGGAGAAGCUUUGAUCCCAGAAAGGGCAGGCUUUCGUCCUUAGAGGUAAGAUUCAGAGAUAUUGUUUAGCAAAACCUUGUUCUGAGUCAUGGCUGAAGAGCCUCGUCCUGGGUCUUGAAACUAGUCAAGAUCAGCUCAUGCCGCUUGGCAAGCAGCUGGGCUAGGAAGGGCCCUGAUCCAAAGUUCUGGCCAGUGAGAUACAAAUGGAUACUUUCUUGCUAAGACUUCCAGAAAAUCAUUUGCUUUUUUGAUUUAAAAACAAACUGCCCCCCAAAAGCCUUUCAUGCUGGAGCAUUGUUGUGAUGCUUGGAGGCACAGCAGCCAUUUUGUAUCCUGAGGUCAGAAUGAAGCCGGAGGCCUACAUACAAAGUGUGGUUUUUUUUUUUUUUUAAAUAGAACCCAGGUGUCUAACGGUGUAUCUGAGUAACUCCAUCAGAUCCCCCCCUGUAGACUGCUUACUAAGAGAGGAAAGAAUAAACAUAUAUUUCUUUUCACAGCACUGUAAUUGGCACUUGGAGCUAGAUGAAUUUUUUUCAUGGAUAAAGCCCCAUAAAAAUGUGGUCACUCUUCAGUGAAUUCCUAGCCAAAUGAAGGGAAAAGCAAUGUACAGUAAAAUGAACUAGCAAAGUAAGCCAGGUGGCUUUGUGUACACGGAAGAGGAAGACUUGGUGGGUGAUGGGGGCCAUAUCCUGUUGGCCAAUGGGGAGCUCUGUCCCUGGAAGAUGGACUCUUGACCCCAGGGCCCCGGUUAGCUUAGCUGCACAGCUCCCUCUGUCAGGAAGUGGCUUCUGUGUCUUAGAGACAGGGGCUCCCUGCCGAGUUGGCCUGUCCCUGUUAAGAGAAAAUCGGCUCAAAUGGGGGGGGCGGAGCUAGAGGUGUCACGUGAUGUGGCAGUUUGAGAGUUGUGCAGUCCUAGAGUGGAGCGGGUGUCAGGCGCUGCUGUAAAGCUUUCUGUCUGUUAACUCCGUUCUCUGAGGGAGGCUGAGGCCGAGAGGUUCGGGAUCCCAGGUUAGGCAAGUAGCACAGGGCUGUGGAGCGGCGGGGCCAGGGUUUGAGUCCACGGCACAGAAUCGGACCUUCAGCCCUGUGCUGCCUCUCCCUGUUUGAGGAAAACGGCCAAGGAGUGUGACGAAGUCCCCAGGGCACGUGACAGCCACUUCAGAGUCUGGAUGCCACCCGGAGAUGAAAGGGUGCCUGGGAGAAGGCCGCUGCUCUCGGCUGUGGUCUCACGGGGGCAGGGCUGGGUCUCCACUUUGAGCGGAGGGACCUGGGGGACUGAGUGAGGCUCCAAAAGGAACCCCACGUCACCCCCUUCACCGGCAGGGGGAAGGCACACGUCCAAGAGGGCUGCUGUGCCACGCGGGUGAGCCUGUCCUCGGCGUGGAUGCUCUGCGCCUGUGGGUACCAACAGCAUCUCAAAGGGCUGCUGAGCGUCAAAUUGGACCUUGAGUCGUUGAAGGGCUGCGAGUCGGCAGGGGGAGGGGUCUUGGGAGAGAUGGGUGGAGAGCGCCCUGAAGGAGUCCAGGGACGGGGUGCAGGUCCCCCUGCCUCCCUGGGGCCUUCCUGACCUGCUGUCAGUACCGGUCUCCUGAGGCAUCCAGAGAGUCUGCGCUUGGCAGCGACGCCGCUCUUCCCGGCAGGUGAGCGCCCACGGAGGAGGGCACAGUGGAGCGGAAAAGCCCCUUGAACGUGGGGAGGCGCUGUCGUUCCUUGAGGGCCAGCGAUCACACGGCGUGCGGCCCACGAAGGGCGGUCCCCUGGCCUGUCUAUUAAAGGACCCUAAGGCCUUGUUCCUGGUACCUGGCUUGUGCCCCUUGGCUCGCGUGGCCGAGGGGUCUGUUCAUAAGGCAGGAUUCCGUCUGCAGCCCCCCUGCCAGGCCGUGUGCAGAUUCUCAUCUCCCCAUAAGGGGGGAACCUGGGUGGGAGGAGGGUCAGAGGAAGAGCAGGUGGGGGCGGGCCUUCCAGAGUCCCCACCUUCACCGGGAGCACGUUCAAGUUCACGAGAGCCCGAAUCCCUUCUGUUUUCUCUCCCACGGCCAGUAGAGUGUGUGUGGGGGAAUACUGUCCUGAUUGAAAUUACAAAUUAUUUUGAAUUACUGAAUAAUUAUGAAUUACUGAAUGAUUCAGUUAGGAAUCCCUGCAGAAUGCAAAUGACUCAAACUGCCCUGGGCCGCCUCUCUCUGGGGCGAGAAGCUCCAUCUCAGAGCCCAGGGUCCUUCACCGCAUCUCCUUGACUGCGACCCCAGGGCUGCCGAGGCUGCCCCAGGCCUGGCACAGAGCAUGGUGCCCGCGAGGUCUCUGGAUUUGGGUGGUGUCAGGGGCGAGGUGCUUGUUCAAACUUGGGGGGCUUGUGGAUGUCGGCUGUUUUCGUGUGCUUCCCAGGCUGGAGCGCCUUGGCGGUUCACGCUCCCCGAAACCUUGCCCCUCGGCUGUCGGUGACAGGCUGGGCGCCCUUCAGGUGCCCCAGUUCUGUACUGCGUCGGAUCCCUGACCUGAGGUUGAUAAGCCGUGUGAACACAGGUUCAGAAAGGGAAAAAUUCACGAUGACCCACAGAAGGAAAGUGAGUAGGUAUCAGAGACUUUAUUUAACUUGCUGAAGGAGCGGAGUAACCGCUGAGGGGAAAACAUCGGCUCCAAGGAGAAGGCGAAGAACAUAAACCUGUGGAAGCAAUUGAAAUGCGGAACUUUUCUAAUAGAUGCAAAACGGGCAGCAGUCAGGUCUAUCUUCAGACAAAAUUUAUUGCUAUUUACAGGUUCAAGAAGCAUUGGCUUGGAG